GGCCCUCUCCAUGUGGCGUAUGCCCUGAUCACUAGACCAGAGGAAUGCAUUUCAUAAACAGACACCCUUGUCUUUGCUCCUUCUGUGAAUCAUAAGGAAAAAAGUAUCAGAAUGCUUUCUACAUGAACAGGAAGACUAACCAACGUUGAAUGGCAGCCAGUCUUAUCUCCGUCCUUAUCACCACCUUACCAUGUCAUCCUGGCGAAGAUGCCAUCACAGGAGUCAGGGUUGAAGUCCAGGUUUAAGGUGCAUCUAGAUGGGUUCCCAGGACGCCUGAAGUAGCCUCAAGAGGCCCAAAAGAAAAAGCUCCUCUGGCACAGUCUCCUAAUGGUGACAAAGGAGUCCCUCUCAUCUGCUUGGCAGCCUUACAAUCAGAGCGUUCUUACAUCUAACCUAAUUAUUUCCCACUGAAAUUCAAACCUAAUUCAUUUAUUUUUUAUUCUCUAUAAAAAUGAAAAACAUCACUGUGGCAAGUAACUUGCUCAAUUUCUCACAGAAAAUAAAGAAAAGGUAGCUGGA
RNAcentral lists this long non-coding RNA (519 nucleotides) under Homo sapiens (human). Its description in RNAcentral is "HSALNT0187040". Lineage: Eukaryota; Metazoa; Chordata; Mammalia; Primates; Hominidae. The record is from RNAcentral.